ACAACGGGGGUGCGAGGGCUGUCGCUGACCUUUCAAAAGGUCGUGCACGCCCGAGCGCUCUCACACAUCCAUCUCACCCCUUUGUGCAUCACCGCGUGGGUCCCCCUUUGCAGGAGGGCUCACGUUUUCACACAAAACUUGAUACAGUGUAGAAUGUUAUUUUUGCGGUCACACGCAAUCAAUACAACUUUCAACAACGGAUCUCUUGGCUCUCGCAUCGAUGAAGAACGCAGCGAAAUGCGAUACGUAAUGUGAAUUGCAGAAUUCAGUGAAUCAUCGAAUCUUUGAACGCACCUUGCGCCCCUUGGCAUUCCGAGGGGCACACCCGUUUGAGUGUCGUGAAAUCAUCAAAAACCCUUUUCUGUUUACCGAAAAGGAUUUUUGGACUUGGAGGUUUAAUGCUUGCCUUUCACUUUUGAAAGCGAGCUCCUCUCNNUGAAUUAGUGNGGUCCGCUUUGCUGGUCCUUGACGUGAUAAGAUGUUUCUACGUUUUGGAUUUAGCACUGUCCCUUUGGAUUCCUGCUCCUAACUGUCCAACGGACAAACGAUGGUGCUCCGGUCGCCGCCGUCUACAUUGGCGGGGGAGGGCUGGACCCACGAAAGAAAACCUUGA
This 613-nucleotide ribosomal RNA is filed under the name uncultured Russula. Its description in RNAcentral is "eukaryotic LSU rRNA". The stretch from base 186 to 339 matches the Rfam family "5.8S ribosomal RNA". The record is from RNAcentral. Lineage: Eukaryota; Fungi; Basidiomycota; Agaricomycetes; Russulales; Russulaceae.